Molecule: long non-coding RNA, 3409 nt
Filed under: Homo sapiens (human)
Lineage: Eukaryota; Metazoa; Chordata; Mammalia; Primates; Hominidae
Description: long independently transcribed non-coding RNA 2872 (LINC02872)
Source: RNAcentral
GCGGCAGCCAGCGAGAGGGGAGAAACAGAUUCACACCCAGGGGCCUCCGGGCAGGGCCCACGGGACUCAGGCCGUGUCCCGCUUGGAAUGUGGAGCAGGCGCGGCCUCGGCGUCAGCAGAGCUCCCCUGCAUCUCCUCCUGGGGGUGUGGGGGCCGAGUGGGAGAACUGGCGGACAGAGGAAAGGGGCCUCGCUCGCAAGGCCCGGGCGGGGAGGCCUGGCCUCCUGCUCAGUCGGUGCAAAUGGAAAAAGAGACGUUCUGUUUCUCCGGAAAACCCUGACUAAUACAGUAGAGGAUAUCCAGAUUGACAACUUCAGGAGAAAGUCUGAUUUAGGAGUCGGAAGCCCAGAUUGGAAAAACCUCUUGAUAGAUGUCACUCGGGAAGACCAUGAAAACAGCCAAAAUAAUUCAAAGAGAAGAUGCAAAGUGAACUGUGAAACAGACCAAAGAUGAAUCUCUUUGGUAAAUCCCCUGCCUAAAUCCCCUGCCAUGGAAUAGCUGCCUAAACUUGGGCAAAUAACUUGACAUUUCUCAGUUUCCACAUUCCAAAAAUGGAUUUUUAUGAGAAUUAAAUGUUAUGAUGCAUUCCAGCUACCUGUCCUAGAACCUGGCAUAAGAGCUCAGUACAUGCUGGGGAGGGUUAUCAUCAUCGUCAUCAUCAUCUUAUUAACAUUCAUGUUGAAGGGAUGAUGGGCUGCUGAGAAGUUCAUGAAGAAGGUGAAAAACUAUUACAGAGGUGGGAGGAAAAAGAGAGGACUAUCACAGAAGCAGAAGAGCUGAGAGUAUUGAGAAAGGGUGACGGGUUAGGGGGACUAGCAAGUACCCUCUGGCGUUGGCAAUAUUCAGUUUGUUGAAGGCCUUGAUGAACUUUAAUGAAGUGGUGAGAGUUAAACAAAGCUGAGAUAGGAUAUGAAUCUCAGGGAGGAUAUGAGGACUCAUUGAUUACCAUUCCAAGAAACUUGUCUGAAAAGGAAAGAAGAGAUGGUGGUAAUCAGAGCAGAGUGGCAGGAUGCAGGGAGUUUUUAUUUAUUUAUUUGUUCUUGUUGCUGACAUUGUUUUCAUACUAUUUUUUGUUUGUUAAAGAGGGAGAGUUGUGAGUAUAAAAUAACCUAUAAAUAGGGAAAACCAGGAACAGAUUCAUGUGAAAGCCCUUGACUGAGAACAGAAUUAAUUACCCGUGCAGAGGUAGUCUUCAAGCCUUGGCAGGUAAGCAACUGUCUGAGACACAGCUGGCUCGGGAACAGGGCCUUUCUUUGGCUGGCAGGCUUGAGGCAGCAUAAUUUGGAAGCGGAUAUGAGAAAGGGCAUAAUAAUGUGAAAUUUGACUGCCUAGUGGGGGAGAAACUUUGAAUAUUAUGAGGCGGUUAUGAAAGUAUUUCCUUCUUAUGGCUUCAAUGGCACUGCCUCUGAGCAUUAGUGUUUGUCCUCAGGAGGUAAGUGUGGGGACUGUAUCAGCAGUUACUACCUAGAUAAGCACGGUGUAUAGGGGUAACAUGGUUUAUAGAGCAUGCAAGCCUUCACCUCUUUGCUAGAUGAGAUAUGGAACCUAAAUUCGGAGACCACGUGACCCCUGAGGCAUGGGGAGGUGGGGUCAGAAAGCGUUACUGGCCAUGAUCCAGACCCAGGCGUGGAGAAACGACCUACUGGGGUUUUCAGGGAGCAGGAAGGUGGGGCAGGUACAGAGUAUAUUCUGGGGGACAGUUUCAUAAAAAGUGAGUAGAUCUCCACAACUUAGUUUCUAGACUAAAUGGACUAAGCAUGUUCCGCCCUAUUCUUCCUACUAACAAUAACAAAAAGCUCUGGACAAAAUUUAUAAAGCAACCCACAGAAGACUCCGAAGUUGGAAAAAGAAAUAAAAACUGGCGAUUUCCUCCAUACUCAAGGCAUCAUGUAGCAGGGAGUGCCUUGGGUGUUGUUUAUGUGUUUGUUUUCUUUUGUUCAUUAAUUUUUUUCUCCCGUGUAUGGCAGUGUGGGCUCUAGCAAUGCCUACCACCCGGAAACACAGAUGGGUACAAAUUUAAAAACCCCAAGAAAACUCUUUUUAGCCAAAUGACCAGUGUUUCCAGCAGAGCAAAAACAUUUUGACCACAUCUGCCCUUUUGUGCUGGCUAACCCCUUCCCCUGCCACCAUGUGCUGCUGGGGGGACAUUGUGGAUGAAGCCCACUCAUUUAUUCCUCCUCCUGCAGUAAUGUGACCAUACCCUUCCCACUCCUAACUAGAGGCUGGGGGAGGACUAUGUGGGGGAGAGAACUGGAGAAAGCAAUUUUCUAAAUUUGUGUAUGAAAUCCUGGUUAGAACUCUGAGUGCCCCAUGCACAAAACAGACAAGAAACAACACAGCAAAAAGAUUCAAGGGUCAGAAAAACUGAACACUGGUCUGAAACACUGCCCGGGUUUCAGAUUGGCAUCAGGGUAGCACCCAAGUGGGGCAGAUUGAAAUAGCACUGUAAAGGCUUUGAAAAUGAAAUGACUUUUGAGCCACAGCUCACAAAGUGAACCGGAACAAGCAUUCUGAACUUAAACAGGUCAAGUGCCUGCUAAAAUCAAAGACUGAAAUGGGAACCAGAAUAAUAUAACAUACUACUGAAAAUGUCUAGGAUGCAAUCCAAAAUCUCAUCACACUGAAAACCAUAAAAAUCUCAACUUGAAAGAGAAAAGGCAAUUGUAAGCAUUGAGAUUACACAGAUGUUGAAACUAUCCAGCAAGAAUCAUAAAGCAGCUAUUAUACAAAUGCCCUGAUUUUAAAGCAAGUAUGAAUGCUCGAAACAAAUGACAAAGUGGAAAGUCACAGCAGAGAAAUAGAAAAUGUAAGGAAGAACCAAAUGGAAAUUUUAAAACUGAAAAAUACAAUAACCAGUUUUUAAAAAUUACUAGAUUCAGAGGGAAAGACCAACAACUCAGAAAAAAUGGGCAAAGGAUAUGAAGAGUUUACGGAAAAGGAAAUGUAGAUAACUCUUACCCAUAUAAAAAUAUGUUCAGCCUCACUCAUAUAAGAAAAAUCAAAAUUGAAAUUACACUGAGACACUGCUUUUCACCUGUCAGAAUGGCAAAACUCAAAGUGUGAAUAUACGCUAUGAGAAUGUGGAAAAUUCUCAUAGAUUGCUUGUGGGCAUCUAGAACAAUUUGGUUGAAUCACUAAAAUCCACAUGCCAUUUGGCCCUGCAAUUCUACUUUUAGAAAUUUAUCAUAUAGGAAACCUGCAUAUGAGUGAAAUGACAUACGUGGAGUGUUACUCCUGGCUGCAUUGUUGGUAAUCACAAAGAACACUAGAAAAAACUUAAUGUCCAUCAAUAAGAUGCUGAUUAAAUUAAUUAUUAUACGUCAUACAAUGGAAAGUUAGAAAACCGUAAAAAAAUGAAACCCUCUCUAUAACCUGCUACCAUAUAAUAAAUAAAAGGACAGGCAAUGAU